GACAGAGGAUGCAAGCGUUAUCCGGAAUGAUUGGGCGUAAAGCGUCUGUAGGUGGCUUUUUUAAGUCCGCCGUCAAAUCCCAGGGCUCAACCCUGGACAGGCGGUGGAAACUACCAAGCUGGAGUACGGUAGGGGCAGAGGGAAUUUCCGGUGGAGCGGUGAAAUGCGUAGAGAUCGGGAGGAACACCUGUGGCGAAGGCGGCGAUCUGGGUCGAUACUGACGCUGAGGUGCGAAAGCGUGGGGAGCAAACAGG
This 254-nucleotide ribosomal RNA is filed under the name uncultured bacterium. RNAcentral describes it as "partial 16S ribosomal RNA". It matches the Rfam family "Bacterial small subunit ribosomal RNA", at positions 524 to 776 of the family's 1533-position model. The record is from RNAcentral.